This is a non-coding RNA of Rattus norvegicus (Norway rat), 3450 nucleotides long. NCBI's taxonomy places the organism in Eukaryota, Metazoa, Chordata, Mammalia, Rodentia, Muridae. The record is from RefSeq and is a predicted model, not a curated record.
CCUCUGAGGUCAGUCCUGUUUUCCACUUUGCCUCCUGACCACGGUGAUGUGAAGAGACUUCAUCGUAAGCUCCAGGCUGCUGCAGCUGCCGCGCCCUCUCCGCUGUGAUGGGGAGAUACUCUGAAAUACUCUGAAAUUGUAAGCCCAAAUCUACCUCUUCCCCUGGAGAAGCUCCAGGGGAUAGUUAAGGGCGAAGAGAUCGUGAAGGGAGAAGGCUCGGAGCCAUAGAGGAUGGUGUUCAAGUGGUGUCCAGCUUUCCGAGUGUAGGAUUACAGCAGCCAUCUUGCAGGAUUCCUGAGUCUCCCAAAGCCAAGGGCAUAGCAUGAGCAGCCUGGGGGGUCAUGUAGCUGUGGGCUCUGAGCUGUGAUCUUCAUAGGCUAACUUAAUGCUAACCCUUGAGUGACCUGCAGGGGAGGCAGGCACUGGACUCCCAGAGUCCCAGUUAUUGUCCCACCCUAAUUCUAACCACCUGGGUGUGGUGAGUCAGAAACUAUAGGGUUAAAUGGCUGGAAGAACCGGGUUUAAAAGGUGCCUUCAGGAAUUAGUCUGGGUGACUCUUUAGAGGUGCUUAAAACAUGGAUGGGAGGUGCCAGGCCCCAGAAAUGUGUCCCAAGCAGCUAUGGCUUCCCGCACGUGUGAUCUGUAACCUCUCACACACCUGUGCCACAUCCUCCCACUCAGAGUGCCUAGAGGAGACAAGGAGAGGGAGGGGCUGGUGGCCAUGCCUCUGUCUACAGUCAUUCCACCUGCCCUCCAGCUGACCCCCUCCACAGCCAAGCAAAUGGCUUGAUAAUUCAGGAAGGCUCAGUGCAGAUCACCAGAAGAAGCCACCAUACCACUGGGCCCUCACCACCUCAAUGCCCUGUCCUUUCACAGCAAAAUAUGAAGUCCUCUGGUCACACCCAACCCUACCAGGAACCUGAGCUUUACCUUGGCAGCCAUAGCAUUGCUGGGUCCACAGCUACAGGCCCACACAGGAUGAUACAUUUGGUCCUCACUGUCUGCUCAGAACAGAGGUUCUGUGACUGCCCCUGGGUCAUAACCCAGCAAGUGACAGAGAUAAGAUCUGACAUUUUGGAAGCUCGCUCUACAUUCGUUUUUGUUUUUGUUUUUGUUUUUUCUCAUAUAAUAGAAAGUUGGAGAUGAAGAGACUUAACCAGAAUAAAUCACCAGACUCUGGGUCCCAGAUCAUUCACUUCCUCUGGUGUUUCCAAGUAAAAAAUAACCCUAGAUUCUUUGUGACUAGAUAUAUUAAUGUGGGCUUCUAGAACUUCUGGAGCAUGAUAGAGGCAGAAGAGAACCCCCAGGAACCUUCUCAUACAUGUGCAUGUCUCAUACAUGUGCCUCCCACUUCUCCUGUGUCUGGGCUAUAGGCACAGACCUUGGCCCCCGGAUCCCUAAAUCUACCAUUUUAUUAUGGUUAGAAAAUAUACACAAAGCCCUCUUAGGCCAUUUUUUAAGAGUACAGUUUAUUGGUGCAAAAUUUGUUUAGAUUUUGUUUAUAUGUGUGAAUGUUUUUGCACGCAUGUAUGUCUAUGUACCAUGUGCAUGCCUGGUACCCACAGAGGCCAGAAGAAGGUGUCAGAUGUCCUGGAACUGAAAUUACAAAUGAUUGUGAGCUGCGAUGUGGGCGCUGGAAACUGAACCCCAUCCCUCUGGAAGAGCAAUCCACCUCUCCUUUGAACCGCCCCUCCAGCCCCAGUAGUUUAACUGUAGUGUUAGGAAAUCCAGUCUCAGAACACUUUCACCUUGCAAAAGGAAUCGUGUAAUAUUUGUCUUAUUUAUACAUCUUAUCUCUCGAGAAUGGCUCUGGGGUUCGCCUUUGCGGCUAGGUGGAUAGGGAGAGAGUUCUUAAAGUUUGAGAAGCAACGUUCUAGAGGGAAGUUUGAGUGUGUGGGGAUGCAUUCUUGGCUUCUCUCCAGUGUAUCCUUUUUCGCUCCUUGCAAGGGAAGCUUUUAAGAAUCCCAGUGCUUUUCUGUGCGAACAGCGGAAUGCUGAAGUUUGCCGAACACACCUCUAGACACAAAGACACUGGAGCGAGGAAUGAGGAUGUAAGUGGCAAGUAAUAGGGACACAACGAAACUGGCUUCCUCCGGUAUUGUCUGAGAAGAAGGAAGUAGAAUGUGGCCAGCCCAAAUGGCCCAGAUUGUCAGAAACAACGCAGGGAGUGGGAAAAUACAGUGUUGCUGGCCGUGCUCCAAGCGAUUAACACACACCAGCUCGCCAAAGAUGUCUUCGCCAGCACUGCCUUCUCCAAGGCUCAGAGUUCAAAAUGUGGUAACGCCGAGGCCCAUUCUGGGGGGCUUGUGGGGACGUGAAACAGACGUAGACCUUCAAGUUCAAGGUCUACCUGAGGUUUGAACCUUCUUGCUUCCAGCUUGACCUCAGUCAUUUCAGAUGCUCAGAAACGGGGUGCCUUGCCUACCUCACUCACCCUUUUGGUUCUCUUGUGGACUGCCCCCCCCCCAGAAAGCAGACAUUGGGGUGAGUGACUGACAGAGGCCAAGCUCCCAGAGCCGGAAGCAGAACAAAGAUGAAACCACACACGGCCUCAGCAAGCCUCAGUGGGCUCACCUGAGCUAUCCCCAAAGGUGGGGAAGGGGAGCAGGAAGCAGUCAGUGGAGUUGGAGCAAUCAAUCUGCCCCUGUUGUCCUUAGCAACCUGUUUGAGGGACAUCCGGGGACGCUCCGUGACUGUAGGUUCCAUGAGUCCGGAAGUACUAAUACCUAAGAGGAGGCAUGUCCAUCAGGUACAGAUCGGACCAGAUCACUUCCGGAGGGAGGAGCCAGCAGGUAUUUCACCAGCCAGCGUCCUAUAUGUAAAAAUACUCCAGGCCCCACCUCCCCUGCUUGGAACAGGGCAUCAGCUUCCAAACUGCUGGCCAGGUCUUUCCCGGUGGGCAGGAAGAAGGCUGCUCUGUGAAGACUGGAGUCUAAGGAUGGUUUAUCCUGACUAAAUCCUUUAUGCCACCUGAGAGAAACCGGGUCGGAAAGAGUACAUGUGGGCUGACAGGGCCACAUGCAGGAAGUGGUCCAUGAGGGCCCAGCCUGGAGACAGCACCAUUCGAGGGGACGCACGCACGCACGCAUGCACGCCCCCAGGAGGACCGUUUCCCUUCGUUAUAUGGGCUCUUGAGUCACCUAGCAGAUAAACUCUGCACCUGCCUCUGAAGGAUUAUCUGGAUCAGGUACACUGAAGUGGGAGGGUCUACUGUAACGUGGGUGCCGUCAACCCCAGACUAAGUAAAGAGAACAUGAACUGAGCAUGCUCCUCCGCAGUCUCUCUCUCUCUCUGCUUCCUGACUGCGGAUGUGAUGUGACCGGCUGCCUCGUGGUCCUGCCACCAUGCCUACACUGUGAGCCACAAGAAGCUCUCUCUUCAUUGGGUUGCUGUUGUAAGGUAUUUUGUGACAAUAAUGAAAAGUAAAAAUAAAUAAACGAUAUAGCCACC